RNAcentral lists this ribosomal RNA (383 nucleotides) under uncultured eukaryote. Its description in RNAcentral is "partial 18S ribosomal RNA". It matches the Rfam family "Eukaryotic small subunit ribosomal RNA", at positions 592 to 976 of the family's 1831-position model. The record is from RNAcentral.
CAAUAGCGUAUAUUAAAGUUGUUGCAGUUAAAAAGCUCGUAGUUGGAUUUCUGGUGGGAGCGAUCGGUCUGGCGCUUAGCGCGAGUACUUGAAUCGUCUCCGGCCAUCCUUGGGGAGAGUCUGUCUGGCAUUAAGUUGUCGGGCAGAGGAUCCUCAUCGUUUACUGUGAAAAAAUUAGAGUGUUCAAAGCAGGCUUAUGCCGUUGAAUAUAUUAGCAUGGAAUAAUAAGAUAGGACUUUGGUACUAUUUUGUUGGUUUGCGCACCAAAGUAAUGAUUAAUAGGGACAGUUGGGGGUAUUCGUAUUCCGUUGUCAGAGGUGAAAUUCUUGGAUUUACGGAAGACGAACUACUGCGAAAGCAUUUACCAAGGAUGUUUUCAUUAA